GACGAACGCUGGCGGCGUGCUUAACACAUGCAAGUCGAACGGAAAGGCCCUGCUUGCAGGGUACUCGAGUGGCGAACGGGUGAGUAACACGUGGGUGAUCUGCCCUGCACUUCGGGAUAAGCCUGGGAAACUGGGUCUAAUACCGGAUAGGAGCCAUUUUUAGUGUGAUGGUUGGAAAGUUUUUUCGGUGUAGGAUGAGCUCGCGGCCUAUCAGCUUGUUGGUGGGGUAAUGGCCUACCAAGGCGGCGACGGGUAGCCGGCCUGAGAGGGUGGACGGCCACAUUGGGACUGAGAUACGGCCCAGACUCCUACGGGAGGCAGCAGUGGGGAAUAUUGCACAAUGGGCGCAAGCCUGAUGCAGCGACGCCGCGUGGGGGAUGACGGCCUUCGGGUUGUAGACUCCUUUCGCUAGGGACGAAGCUUUUUGUGACGGUACCUAGAUAAGAAGCACCGGCUAACUACGUG
This 465-nucleotide ribosomal RNA is filed under the name uncultured bacterium. Its description in RNAcentral is "partial 16S ribosomal RNA". It matches the Rfam family "Bacterial small subunit ribosomal RNA", at positions 28 to 507 of the family's 1533-position model. The record is from RNAcentral.